Molecule: ribosomal RNA, 511 nt
Filed under: Ilybius erichsoni
Lineage: Eukaryota; Metazoa; Arthropoda; Insecta; Coleoptera; Dytiscidae
Description: partial 16S ribosomal RNA
Rfam family: Bacterial large subunit ribosomal RNA (bases 388-511)
Source: RNAcentral
GUCCUUUUGAAUUUAAUUUAAGGUCUGACCUGCCCACUGAUUUAUAUUUGAAGGGCCGCAGUAAUUUGACUGUGCAAAGGUAGCAUAAUCAUUAGUUUUUUAAUUAAAAGCUUGUAUGAAGGGUUGGACGAGGUAAAUUCUGUCUCUAUUUAAUUAAAUUUAGAAUUUAAUUUUUAAGUUAAAAAGCUUAAAUAGUAUUAAAAGACGAGAAGACCCUAUAGAUCUUUAUAUUAUUUUUAUUAAUUUUAAUUAAGAUUUUUUAAUUUUUUAAUAUAUAUAAUAUUUUAUUGGGGUAAUAAAAAGAUUUAAUUAAUUCUUUUUUAUAAUAACAUUAAUAAAUGAUUUUUUGAUCCAAUAUUAUUGAUUAUAAGAUUAAGUUACCUUAGGGAUAACAGCGUAAUAUUUUUAGAGAGUUCAUAUCGAUAAAAAAGUUUGCGACCUCGAUGUUGGAUUAAAAAUUAUUUUAGGUGUAGAAGCUUGAAAUUUUGGUCUGUUCGACCAUUAAAUUUUU